ACAUCAUAUACAAUCUAUUUUCCAGAAUGCUCAUUUGGAGUUUGUAGAAAAUUUGAAUGUUAAAGAGCAAGUUGUUGCUGGAAUCAUGUACUAUAUAACACUUGCGGCAACUGAUGAUGCUGGAAAGAAGAAAAUAUACAAAAAGGUUUUGAACGUGAAGCAACAAAUAGUUGCUGGAAUAAUGUACUAUAUAACACUUGCGGCAAUUGAUGCUGGAAAGAAGAAAAUAUAUGAAGCUAAGAUUUGGGUGAAAGAAUGGGAGGACUUCAAGAAAGUUGUAGAAUUCAAGCUUGUUGGUGAUGAUAUUGCAAAACUUGGGGGCAUUACUGAUGUUCCAUUCCCAAAUAACCCCGAGUUCCAAGAUCUUGCUCGUUUUGCUAUUCAAGUUUAUAAUAAGAAAGAGGUUAAUUCAAAUGGCUUACUCCUCUUUUAUUUUUCGCUAGUUUCACCUUCAAACAUAUAAUAUUCAAAUUCUGAAUCCGCUACAGUUUCUAAUAAUUCUUUCAUUUGAAUGAACGUCAUAUACAAUCUAUUUUUCAGAAUGUUCAUUUGGAGUUUGUAGAAAAUUUGAACGUUAAACAACAAGUUGUUGCUGGAAUGAUGUACUAUAUAACACUUGCGGCAAUUGAUGCUGGAAAGAAGAAAAUAUAUGAAACUAAGAUUUGGGUGAAAGAAUGGGAGGACUUCAAGAAAGUUGUAGAAUUCAAGCUUGUUGGUGAUGAUAGUACAAUGCCUGGGGGCAUUGUCAAUGUUCCAAACCCAAACAACACCAAGUUAGUUCCAAGAUCUUGCUCGUUUUGCUGUUCAGGAUUAUAACAAUACACAGGUCAAUUAUAUAUAAUGACUUACUUUUAGUUUCUUAAUGAUGUACUAUAUAACACUUGCGGCAACUGAUGCCGGGAAUAAGAAAGAAUAUGAAGCCAAGAUUUGGGUGAAGGAAUGGGAGGACUUCAAGAAAGUUAUAGACUUCAAGCUUGUUGGUAAUGAUAGUGAGAAAAAACUUGGGGGCUUUACCGAAGUUCCAUUCCCAAACAGCCCCGAGUUUCAAGAUCUUACACGUUUUGCUGUUCACCAAUAUAAUAAGGACCAGGUUAUUUAUAAUGACUUACUCAUCUUCUAUUUUUUUUUCUAGUUAAUUUCACAUUCAACCCUAUAAUAUACAAAUUCAUAAUCCACUACUGUAUCUAGUAUAUAAUUCUUUCAUUUGAACGAGCGUCAUAUACAAUCAAUUUUUUCAGAAUGCUCAUCUGGAGUUUGUAGAAAAUUUGAAUGUGAAAAAACAAGUUGUUGCUGGAAUGUUGUACUACAUAACAUUUGCGGCAACAGAUGGUGGAAAGAAAAAAAUAUAUGAAACUAAGAUUUGGGUUAAGGUAUGGGAGAACUUCAAGAAAGUUGUUGAAUUCAAGCUUGUUGGUGAUGAUAGUGCAAAGCCUGGGGGAAUUAUCAAUGUUCCAUUCCCAAACAGCCCCGAAUUCCAAGAUCUUGCUCGUUUUGCUGUUCAAGAUUAUAAUAAGAAAGAGGUUAAU
Molecule: long non-coding RNA, 1526 nt
Filed under: Solanum tuberosum (potato)
Lineage: Eukaryota; Viridiplantae; Streptophyta; Magnoliopsida; Solanales; Solanaceae
Description: long non-coding RNA (STUB_LNC006821)
Source: RNAcentral